This 251-nucleotide ribosomal RNA is filed under the name Sarcophaga crassipalpis. RNAcentral describes it as "partial 16S ribosomal RNA". The record is from RNAcentral. Lineage: Eukaryota; Metazoa; Arthropoda; Insecta; Diptera; Sarcophagidae.
AAAUAUUUUAAUUUUUUAAAGAUAGAAACCAACCUGGCUUACGCCGGUUUGAACUCAGAUCAUGUAAGAAUUUAAAAGUCGAACAGACUUAAAAUUUAAGCGGCUACACCUAAAAUUAUAUCUUAAUCCAACAUCGAGGUCGCAAUCUUUUUUAUCCGAUAUGAACUCUCCAAAAAAAUUACGCUUGCUAUCCCUAAAGUAACUUAUUNCCCNAAUCGUUAUUAACGGGAUCAAUUAUUCAUAAAUUAAUG